CCAAUCUCUCUCUCUACCACAUUCCUCAUAUUUUCUCUCUCUAGUCUCUAACAUUAAUCUGCUCAUCCCCACCUAACCCCCUAGGGCGAAGCAAAACCCCCAGAGGAAGCAGAUGCGUGCAGUGGUUCGUUGCUACACGAGAGCAAAAUCGUAGUGCAUCGCGACGACGAUCGUUGCUCGUGACACCGUUGCAUGCAGAAAAUGCUUGGGGUCCAGUUUUCUGAAAAUAAGUGCAAUGGUAAUGAUAUGGUGGACAGAUGUUGGUCCGACAACAGAACUAGGGAGUGACUAAUUGAGAUGGGUGCUUGAUGGAAUGGUGGUUCGACGGUGGGUGCUUGGGAUUGUAGAUCUGGAGUUCAGUUGGUUGGGACGGUGUUUCAGCGGUAGUCCAAUGGUGCUUGAAGAAAUUGCAAAAAAAUGCACACCACGUGUUCGUCACUUUUAGAUUUGGGAUGGUUAAAAUCCCUUCUUUUUUUCCCUUUUGAGUUGGCUUAUAAAAUUUCGUGGUUAAGAUUUGUAGUCAAUUGCAAUCUUUAAGGUUCGGUGGCGAUUGGUGGUGGUUCUGAUGAUGGUGUGAUGUCGAUGGUGGUGUUUAGUGGAUUGUGAUAUUGGUCUGAGGUGUGUGCAGAUUUAUUUGUGGUGACCCCAUGUCACUAGGUAUGUGUUUUGUUGUGACUGUUUGUGAUCACUUUUUUAUUGAUUGUGACCGUUGUGACUUGGUCACAAUUAAAGAUUGACCUAGUUAAAAACAGUCACACUAGAUACAAAUUUGGCACAAUUAGUCAUAUCAAAGAUAAAUUUGAUCACCGUUAAUCACAAUAACAUAGGUCAGUGAAUUUAUUACAUACAGUUGUAGGGAAAAUAAAUUUGAUCACAAAUAGUUACAUGAAACACAGGUAUAGUCAUGAACAAUAAAUUUGGUAAUAGAUAAAUUUUUAGAGACUUUUCUACAGUGGAGUAUAGAGAGUGAAAAUGCUUUCAAUUUUUGAAUAUUUUUCUAUCGCCGAAGCUGGAGCAGCCGUCGGAGCGAUGGUUGGAGUGGUCGUCGGAGUGAUCAUCGAAGAGAUCGUCGAAGUAGUCGUCGGAGCUGAUGGCUGCCUCCAUUGGGAAGAAAGGGUAUGAAAAGGAUAGAGAGUAGAGAGAGAAAAAGAGUGGCUUUGAUUUGAAAUUUGGUGUGAUUAAUUAUAUUAUAUUAUAAUUAAAGUUUUAAUAAAUUGAUUUAUCAUCUGAUUUUUGAAAGUUUUGUGGAGUUCGU
RNAcentral lists this long non-coding RNA (1255 nucleotides) under Olea europaea subsp. europaea. Lineage: Eukaryota; Viridiplantae; Streptophyta; Magnoliopsida; Lamiales; Oleaceae. The record is from RNAcentral.